This 1245-nucleotide ribosomal RNA is filed under the name uncultured candidate division WWE3 bacterium. Its description in RNAcentral is "bacterial SSU rRNA". It matches the Rfam family "Bacterial small subunit ribosomal RNA", at positions 43 to 1380 of the family's 1533-position model. Lineage: Bacteria; candidate division WWE3. The record is from RNAcentral.
CGUGCUUAAGGUAUGCCAGUCCAACCCGCGCAAGCGGGUGGCGAACGGCUGAGUAAUACGUAGGAAUCUACCUCUAAGUAAGGCAUAACCCAUCGAAAGGUGGGAUAAUUCCUUAUGUGGUGGCCACAUCAAAGAUUUAUCGCUUAGAGAUGAGCCUGCGUCCUAUCAGGUAGUUGGUUGGGUAAAGGCCUACCAAGCCUAUGACGGGUAGCUGGUAUAAGUGUAUGACCAGCCCGAGGGGCACUGAGAUACGGGCCUCACCCCUACGGGGGGCAGCAAUCGGGAAUUUUGCGCAAUGGGCGAAAGCCUGACGCAGCGACGCCGCGUGAAGGAUUAAGGCCUUCGGGUUGUAAACUUCGUUGUAAGCACCGGCUAACUACGUGCCAGCAGCAGCGGUCAUACGUAGGGUGCAAGCAUUACCCGGUCUUAUUGGGCGUAAAGAGUUCUGUAGGCGGUUGAAUAAGUUGGAAGUUAAAUAUCCCGGCUCAACCGGGAGGAGGCUUUCAAUACUAUUUGACUUGGAGGUGACUAGGGGGUAGCGGAACGCAUGGUGUAGCAGUGAAAUGCGUUGAUAUCAUGCGGAACACCAAGGGGGAAGCCCAGCUACCUGGGGUUAUCCUGACGCUGAGAGACGAAAGCGUGGGGAGCGAAACGGAUUAGAUACCCGUGUAGUCCACGCUGUAAACAAUGCCUGCCAGAUGCUCCGCUUUUGUGGGGUGUCGAAGCUAACGCGUUAAGCAGGCCGCCUGGGAAGUACGAUCGCAAGAUUAAAACUCAAAGGAAUUGGCGGGGACCCGCACAAGCGGUGGAGCAUGCUCUUUAAUUGGCUGAUAACCCAAGAACCUUACCAGGGCUUGACAUGCAUUUAGUAGUGAACCGAAAGGGGAACGACCGGUAUCCAGUCCGGAGUUUGCACAGGUGUUGCAUGGCUGUCGUCAGUUCGUACCGUGAGGCGUACCCUUAAGUGGGUUAACGAACGCAACCCCUACUGUUAGUUGUAUCACUCUAACGGAACUGCCUCGGCAACGAGGAGGAAGGUGGGGAUGACGUCAAGUCAGUAUUGCUCUUACGCUCUGGGCUAGAAGCAUGCUACAAUGGGGGCGACAACGCGACGCGAAGAGGUGACUCGGAGCAAAUCGCUAAACGCUCUCUCAGUUCGGAUUGGAGUCUGCAAUUCGACUCCAUGAAGUUGGAAUCGCUAGUAAUCGGCGGUCAGCUAUACGCCGGUGAAUACGUUCUCGGGUC